UUCGGGUCGCCGGCGAGUGGCAAACGGGUGAGUAACGCGUGGAUACCUGUCCUGUGGUGGGGAAUAACGUUUAGAAAUGAACGCUAAUACCGCAUAAGCCCUGCGGGGGAAAGAUUUAUCGCCAUAGGAGGGGUCCGCGUCGGAUUAGCUAGUUGGUGGGGUAACGGCCUACCAAGGCGACGAUCCGUAGCUGGUCUGAGAGGAUGAUCAGCCACACUGGGACUGAGACACGGCCCAGACUCCUACGGGAGGCAGCAGUGGGGAAUAUUGCGCAAUGGAGGAAACUCUGACGCAGCGACGCCGCGUGGGUGAAGAAGGUCUUAGGGUUGUAAAGCCCUUUCAGUGGGAAAGAUGAUGACGGUACCCACAGAAGAAGCCCCGGCUAACUCCGUGCCAGCAGCCGCGGUAAUACGGAGGGGGCCAGCGUUGUUCGGAAUUACUGGGCGUAAAGGGCGCGUAGGCGGUUGAUCAAG
This 473-nucleotide ribosomal RNA is filed under the name uncultured Magnetococcus sp. RNAcentral's name for it is "bacterial SSU rRNA". It matches the Rfam family "Bacterial small subunit ribosomal RNA", at positions 79 to 587 of the family's 1533-position model. The record is from RNAcentral. Lineage: Bacteria; Pseudomonadati; Pseudomonadota; Magnetococcia; Magnetococcales; Magnetococcaceae.